RNAcentral lists this ribosomal RNA (445 nucleotides) under uncultured bacterium. Its description in RNAcentral is "bacterial SSU rRNA". It matches the Rfam family "Bacterial small subunit ribosomal RNA", at positions 331 to 792 of the family's 1533-position model. The record is from RNAcentral.
CCAGACUCCUACGGGAGGCAGCAGUGGGGGAUAUUGCACAAUGGGGGAAACCCUGAUGCAGCGACGCCGCGUGGGUGAAGAAGUAUUUCGGUAUGUAAAGCCCUAUCAGCAGGGAAGAAAGAAGACGGUACCUGACUAAGAAGCCCCGGCUAACUACGUGCCAGCAGCCGCGGUAAUACGUAGGGGGCGAGCGUUAUCCGGAUUCACUGGGUGUAAAGGGAGCGUAGACGGCCGUGCAAGCCAGGAGUGAAAGCCCGGGGCCCAACCCCGGGACUGCUCUUGGAACUGUGCGGCUGGAGUGCGGGAGGGGCAGGCGGAAUUCCUAGUGUAGCGGUGAAAUGCGUAGAUAUUAGGAGGAACACCAGUGGCGAAGGCGGCUUACUGGACUGUAACUGACGUUGAGGCUCGAAAGCGUGGGGAGCAAACAGGAUUAGAUACCCCGGUA